GUGGGGAAUCUUCCGCAAUGGACGAAAGUCUGACGGAGCGACGCCGCGUGAGUGAAGAAGGCCUUCGGGUCGUAAAGCUCUGUCAUCAGGGACGAACGGCCGGUGGAGUGGAAAGCCACCGGAUUGACGGUACCUGAGAAGGAAGCCACGGCUAACUACGUGCCAGCAGCCGCGGUAAUACGUAGGUGGCAAGCGUUGUCCGGAAUUAUUGGGCGUAAAGCGCGCGCAGGUGGGAUCUUAAGUCCAUUUUUAAAGUUCGGAGCUCAACUCCGUGAUGGGAUGGAAACUGGGAUUCUUGAGUACCGGAGAGGAAAGCGGAAUUCCCCGUGUAGCGGUGAAAUGCGUAGAUAUGGGGAGGAACACCAGUGGCGAAGGCGGCUUACUGGACUGUAACUGACGCUGAGGCGCGAAAGUGUGGGGAGCAAACAGGAUUAGAAACCCGAGUAGUCC
RNAcentral lists this ribosomal RNA (450 nucleotides) under uncultured bacterium. RNAcentral describes it as "partial 16S ribosomal RNA". It matches the Rfam family "Bacterial small subunit ribosomal RNA", at positions 354 to 796 of the family's 1533-position model. The record is from RNAcentral.